GCCAUAGCUCAAUGGCAAAGCCUCUGCUUAGCAUGAAGAAGGUCCCAGAUUCAAUCCCAGGUAUCUCCA
Molecule: non-coding RNA, 69 nt
Organism: Podarcis lilfordi (Lilford's wall lizard)
Lineage: Eukaryota; Metazoa; Chordata; Lepidosauria; Squamata; Lacertidae
Source: the annotation of a GenBank genome assembly